CGGGGUUAACUCGGAGGAAGGUGGGGAUGACGUCAAAUCAUCAUGCCCCUUAUGUCCAGGGCUUCACACAUGCUACAAUGGUCGGUACAACGCGCUGCGAGCCUGUGAGGGUGAGCGAAUCGCUGAAAGCCGGCCUCAGUUCGGAUUGGGGUCUGCAACUCGACCCCAUGAAGUCGGAGUCGCUAGUAAUCGCAGAUCAGCAACGCUGCGGUGAAUACGUUCCCGGGCCUUGUACACACCGCCCGUCACGUCAUGAAAGUUGGUAACACCCGAAGCCAGUGGCCUAACCCUUGUGGGGGGAGCUGUCGAAGGUGGGAUCGGCGAUUGGGACGAAGUCGUAACAAGGUAGCCGUACCGGAAGGUGCGGCUGGAUCACCUCCUUUCUAAGGAG
Molecule: ribosomal RNA, 391 nt
Filed under: Corynebacterium diphtheriae
Lineage: Bacteria; Bacillati; Actinomycetota; Actinomycetes; Mycobacteriales; Corynebacteriaceae
Description: bacterial SSU rRNA
Rfam family: Bacterial small subunit ribosomal RNA
Source: RNAcentral